Molecule: long non-coding RNA, 1232 nt
Filed under: Homo sapiens (human)
Lineage: Eukaryota; Metazoa; Chordata; Mammalia; Primates; Hominidae
Description: HSALNT0304181
Source: RNAcentral
CUCAGGAGGCCCCAGGGGACCUGAAGCCUGGGGGCCCUGCUCUCUCCACCCUGUGGCUGGACCACCUCGCCGUGGUCCCACAACCAGUACAUUACCCCUGUAGGGUUCUGUGAUUGACACAAAGGACACUGGAAUAGUUCAGUCAUGCUGAAGGAUGUGGGCCCCAUUCCAAAGGCAGUAGGAGCCAUUGAAGGAUUUUCAGUAGAAGAGAGACACCUGUUCCAAUUUGUGUUUUGGAAAAAAUUCUGCAGACAAUGUGGGGGUGUCUAAGAGAGAGGAAAACUGGGGUGGGAAUGAUAGAAGGUAAAAGAAGACCCCUGAAUGUGGGUACACAUGUUUACAGGGACAAGCAUCCCUCUCCCUGCCCCCAUGGCUCCUUCCACUUGAAGGCUCAGGGUCCAUACAGCACAAGCAGAGUUAGGCCUCCUGCACUAAACAUCCUCCAGCCAAGACUUGCUGUCCACAGCCAGCUCACUCACUAAGGCUGCCGUAUUAAUGCAGUAGUUUCUCAGGUCCUGGGCCUCAGACAUGAUCAUGACAUGUACUUGUAGGACAGCAGCACUCAUGUACAGAAUGCCAGUGGUCCCGUGGUACAGGCUGUCAUGGAAAUGCAGAGCAGAGCCACAUAUGGCCAUGUCACUCAGGUGACCACAGGCUUCAUAAAGCCUAAAAAACUUCAGACUGAGAGGAAAAGACCCCAGUCAAGAUGGGUGCGGCUGUUGUCAUCAGCACACAGUGGUGAACCUGGAGCUGUGAAAUGGAGGAGGAGAAAGAGGAAAGGAGCCUGCAUCCCAGAUGACACGACCGAGCUGCUGACCCAGAUCGCAGGACACGAGAUAGUGCAUUUCCCUUCUGUUAAGUAAUUUCUGUAGUUACCGAAUCUGGAAGGAAAACUAAGAGGCCACCAGGCAGGCCGUGUGAUGGAAGGAGUGAGGGGAGAAGGAGCAUCCAUGCAGAGGGAACAGCAUGUGCAAAGAUGAGGGUCAGUGAGGACGUGGUUUGUACAGUUUCAAGGCACAGCAACUGUCGGUUGUGAGAGAUGCUUCUGCUACCACUUCUAUUGCUCACGGCAAGGCAAAAUGUCAGUCUAGAUUCAAGGAGGUGGAGAAAUAGAUUCCACUUCCUGAUGAGAGAAGAAUGAAUGCAGAGUUUGCAACUCGUCUGUUAAAGGGAAUGACAAAGAUGCAAGAAGAGUUAAACUAAAGUUCAUUCAGCUGGCAGUAUCCAAUCCA